RNAcentral lists this ribosomal RNA (380 nucleotides) under uncultured eukaryote. RNAcentral describes it as "SSU rRNA". It matches the Rfam family "Eukaryotic small subunit ribosomal RNA", at positions 587 to 972 of the family's 1831-position model. The record is from RNAcentral.
AGCUCCAAUAGCGUAUAUUAAAGUUGUUGCGGUAAAAAAGCUCGUAGUUGGAUUUCUGUUGAGGACGACCGGUCCAUACCAUGUAUGCGCAUCUGGCUCGGCCUCGGCAUCCUCUCGUUUUGGGUUCCUGUGCUUGAUUGCAUGGGGCUUAUAGCGGGACUUUUACUUUGAGGAAAUUAGAGUGUUCACGGCAGGCUAUCGCCAGAAUACAUUAGCAUGGAAUAAUAUUAUAGGAUCGAGAUUCUAUUUUGUUGGUUUCUAGAAUUUUGAUAAUGAUUAAUAGGGACAAUUGGGGGCAUUCGUAUCAACACGUCAGAGGUGGAAUUCUUGGAUUGUGUUGCGACGAACUACUGCGAAAGCAUUUGCCAAGGAUGUUUUCA